RNAcentral lists this ribosomal RNA (808 nucleotides) under uncultured bacterium. Its description in RNAcentral is "bacterial SSU rRNA". It matches the Rfam family "Bacterial small subunit ribosomal RNA", at positions 36 to 837 of the family's 1533-position model. The record is from RNAcentral.
CUAGCGGCAGGCUUAAUACAUGCAAGUCGAACGGUAACAUGAGUAGCAAUACUUGAUGACCAGUGGCGCACGGGUGCGUAACGCGUAUGCAACCUACCUUUAACAGGGACAUAACUUAGAGAAAUCUGGGCUAAUAUUCGAUAACAUUAUGAAGAGACAUCUCUUUAUAAUUAAAGCUCCGGCGGUUAAAGAUGGGCAUGCGUGACAUUAGUUAGUUGGCGAGGUAACGGCUCACCAAGACCGCGAUGUCUAGGGGUACUGAGAGGUUCCACCCCCACCCUGGUACUGAGACACGGACCAGACUCCUACGGGAGGCAGCAGUAAGGAAUAUUGGGCAUGGACGCAAGUCUGACCCAGCCAUGCCGCGUGGAGGAUGACGGCCUACCGGUUGUAAACUGCUUUUAUACGGGAAAAAACUUUUGGUUUCGCCCCAAAAUUGAUGGUACCGUAAGAAUAAGGAUCGGCUAACUCCGUGCCAGCAGCCGCGGUAAUACGGAGGAUCCAAGCGUUAUCCGGAUUUAUUGGGUUUAAAGGGUGCGCAGGCGGAAUAAUAAGUCCGUGGUGAAAUCCUACGGCUCAACUGUAGAACUGCCAUUGAUACUGUUAUUCUUGAGUUUAGUUGAAGUGGGCGGAAUGUGUCAUGUAGCGGUGAAAUGCUUAGAUAUGACACAGAACCCGAUCGCGAAGGCAGCUCACUAAGCUAAAACUGACGCUCAUGCCCCCAAAGCGUGGGGAUCAAACAGGAUUAGAUACCCCUGGUAGUCCACCGCUGUAAACCGAUGAUUACCCCGAUGUUGGGCGAUACACC